RNAcentral lists this ribosomal RNA (466 nucleotides) under uncultured bacterium. Its description in RNAcentral is "partial 16S ribosomal RNA". It matches the Rfam family "Bacterial small subunit ribosomal RNA", at positions 28 to 507 of the family's 1533-position model. The record is from RNAcentral.
GAUGAACGCUGGCGGCGUGCUUAACACAUGCAAGUCGAACGGAAAGGCCAGUGCUUGCCCUGGUACUCGAGUGGCGAACGGGUGAGUAACACGUGGGUGAUCUGCCCUGUACUUCGGGAUAAGCUUGGGAAACUGGGUCUAAUACCGGAUAGGACAACUUUUUGGAUAUUGUUGUGGAAAGCUUUUGCGGUAUGGGAUGAGCUCGCGGCCUAUCAGCUUGUUGGUGGGGUAAUGGCCUACCAAGGCGUCGACGGGUAGCCGGCCUGAGAGGGUGUACGGCCACAUUGGGACUGAGAUACGGCCCAGACUCCUACGGGAGGCAGCAGUGGGGAAUAUUGCACAAUGGGCGCAAGCCUGAUGCAGCGACGCCGCGUGGGGGAUGAAGGCCUUCGGGUUGUAAACUCCUUUCGCUAGGGACGAAGCGCAAGUGACGGUACCUGGAGAAGAAGCACCGGCUAACUACGUG